RNAcentral lists this ribosomal RNA (459 nucleotides) under uncultured bacterium. RNAcentral's name for it is "partial 16S ribosomal RNA". It matches the Rfam family "Bacterial small subunit ribosomal RNA", at positions 338 to 795 of the family's 1533-position model. The record is from RNAcentral.
CCUACGAGUGGCUGCAGUGAGGAAUAUUGGUCAAUGGCCGCAGGGCUGAACCAGCCAAGUCGCGUGAGGGAUGACGGUCCUAUGGAUUGUAAACCUCUUUUGUCAGGGAGCAAAGGGCGCCACGUGUGGCGCUUUGCGAGUACCUGAAGAAAAAGCAUCGGCUAACUCCGUGCCAGCAGCCGCGGUAAUACGGAGGAUGCGAGCGUUAUCCGGAUUUAUUGGGUUUAAAGGGUGCGCAGGCGGAAUGUCAAGUCAGCGGUAAAAUUUCGGGGCUCAACCCCGUCGUGCCGUUGAAACUGGCGUUCUUGAGUGAGCGAGAAGUAUGCGGAAUGCGUGGUGUAGCGGUGAAAUGCAUAGAUAUCACGCAGAACUCCGAUUGCGAAGGCAGCAUACCGGCGCUCAACUGACGCUCAUGCACGUAAGCGUGGGUAUCGAACAGGAUUAGAUACCCCUGUAGUC